Long non-coding RNA from Apis cerana (Asiatic honeybee), 2494 nucleotides. RefSeq lists it as uncharacterized. Lineage: Eukaryota; Metazoa; Arthropoda; Insecta; Hymenoptera; Apidae. The record is from RefSeq and is a predicted model, not a curated record.
CUAGCUCUCGAAGCCAUCGGAACGAAUGUUCUAUCGUUUGAAAACGCGCACCGGGAGCGGAUCGAAUAAAUAUCGAAUCGUUAGCGAGUCGUUCAUUUUCCCGUUUUGUAUUACGAUCGACUGUUGCGGAAGAGCCAACGAAGAAAACAGGUUUCUUCUUGCGCCCGUGCCGAUUCGUAAAUAAAGUUGGCAAGCGGCGAAUUGCGACCGUGCACGCCCACGUAACUUCCAUAAUGGCGCAAUAAUUCCACUGGCGUGGCCAAAGGUAAGGGCAUCACGGGGGUAGCUCGCGAUCUUUGCGUGUAGACCGGUAGUGAGGUGGAUGAUUGAACAUUGAGUGGAUGAGAGACAAAAGGAGCAAAAAUAUAUACGCGAUGGUAUUAAUCUGCCGUGUAAUUUCGAAAGUUUUGAGAUAAUUUUAUUGCUACUGUUAGUUGAACUAUAUAAUCAAGAAUAAUCAUAAUUUUCUUCUAAUAAAUAUUAUGUUGAGUUUAAGUUAACAGUUGGAAGUGGCUCGAAGUUGAAACUCCUUCAACAAAUAUCCGACAACGAAUACCAUAUUGAUAAUAUCGAUUAUUUUACCGUUUCAAUUUCUAACAUCAACGUCAACGUAUACACACGCAAACUUUCUCCAGAAGAGAACUGCUCUUAUUAUACGCAUAUAAGAAAUCACGACAUCGUAACGUCAAUCUAUUCCUGGGAAUAAAUUCCGUCAAUCAUAUUUAAUCGAUAGAAUCCGACCGAUACCUAAUCGCAAUUUCAUUCCUUCCUAUUUACUCGAGUCUCACCCCCUUUCCCCCAUACUAGAGGGCGGCAAGUGCCGCCGGUUGGUAGCGGAAGCGCGUUAAAGCUACAUCAGACUCUCACGUUGACUACGCUCGGAAUACUAUCUGCAUAGUAGGUCGACACCAGGUCUGACUAUGCGAGGCACGCGAGGGAACCGCCUGUAAAUUUUCCCCGAAAUGAGAGUGUCACCGCGGCCCUCCCCCACCAUCCUUUCUCCUCGAGGAUCUUUCCUACCCCACCCCCUCAUCUCCCUGCGAUAGAACGAUCUACUCCGUUCCAGUCGUACGUACCGCAUGAAUUCUAAAUGAGAUUCCGCGUCCCGGGCCAAAAGGGACCCUUUCUCCUCAUCCUCCUCCUCGCCCCUCUUCUUUUUCGCGAAUCGCUCGCCUUUCACACGGUCGACCGCGAAGUUCCUCGCUCCGUUUCGGAUGCAAUAAAUUCGUCAGCGAGGGAGAGAGUCCCGGAGUCCAACGUGGUGGAGAGAUCCGUCGAUGAAUGCAGGGAACGACGGUUCUCGAACGACAGGAAAUCACGAGAAUGUAAAGUGCCCGGGAGAACGUACCGUGAAUCGAUACGAUGUAUCAAUUUUAAUUAUGAAUUCGGUUAAUAAAAAUGUUACUACGUUCAGUUGGGGAGAGUUGAAGACGAGAAAAGGAUUGAUAAGAAUAUACGAAGAAAUCUGAGAACGACAGGUCUCAGAUGGGAUGGAAGUGGAUAAACUUACCGAUGUAAAAGUGUGACACGAUGUACUAGCACGAGAUCGACAAUGACAAAGUGUACAUGCAAACUUCAAGCCAAGAUGUAGAAAGUGCAUGGACACUUUAGUCGAUAUUCUUUCCUGCUGUAACACCUGCAGAAGAUCUAUUUUCCUAUCUUAUAAUACAUGGAGAGAAGCUGGACGCUGUGGGACGGUGCAAACAAGUUCCCAAACCUAUUUCCGCUCCCAGAACCCCUCUCACUCGUUCUCCAAGGAGUCAUGGAUCACCCUGACGCCCUGCCAACUCUUCGUUGUCGUAUGAUAAACGCCUGAUAGCCCUUGUUUCCACGGAAGAACCUCCUCGAGGUCUGCCUCCGAGCGAGGACUCCUACCCCCUUUGUGUCGUGGCGCGUUGCUACGCAUAAUUGUGUAUCAACAGGGCUGGCCGUGUGCGGUCGACUCGAUAACGCGACGAACACCGAUCCCCCUUUUCAACAUCUCCCUCCCCCUCCUUCCUCCUCUCUCCCUGUCCUAUCAUCGUUGGCGGCGAUGAACGACGAGUAUCGAGUGUCGAGCAACCGUGUCACGACAUUGACGAGAUGAUCGAUUGGCUGGGAACUGGAGGGCUCGAGGGAAACGCAGCUCGUUGGAAAAAUAUCGGCGAGGCCAUGGCCUCUUUUAUAUGGGUUACCGUGUCAUCGAUACAUAGUUUCGUCAGGGAGGAUUCGGGUAAGAGAUCGUAAUUUGCGAUACUCUUUUCGAAAAUUUUUCUCUCUUUCUCUCUCUUUCUAUAUUUCUUUUCGUGCCAGUUUUAGUUAAGUGAAAUAACUGCGGAGAUUAUUUCUUAUCUUAGCAGUAUUUUCUUUGUUAUUUAAUUCUUUCGUGUGUAUAUUACACAUAAAUGUGUAAGAAACAGGAUUAAAAAAUUAUUAAUUAUGUUCGAUUCUGGAAGGAACGAAAGAGUUAAUAAAUUUAAUUUUUAAGUUAUUUUUUAAUUAAAUUAAAUUAAUU